AUUUCUUAUGCGACGUACUUUGCUCAUUUACGUUUUGUGCCGUGUUCCUUCUCCCUCAGUUAUGGAAUGAUUUAUCCUAGCAAAUUGUUGAGUUACAGAUGUGUGCGCUAUUUAUCAACGACUACCUGCUAGCGUCGUCAACAAUCUUCAAUGUGAGCGACGGAAAGAAAACGUUUUCCAGUUUUAAAAUAUUAAGCCCCCGGUGAGGACGUCAUUCAACACGCGCAGCUCCUGUUCAUGACGUCAUCACGAAACUGAAGCCAGCUGAACACGCGCAGCACUGAUGGUACCCCGAG
Molecule: long non-coding RNA, 296 nt
Organism: Anopheles gambiae (African malaria mosquito)
Lineage: Eukaryota; Metazoa; Arthropoda; Insecta; Diptera; Culicidae
Exons: 3
Source: RefSeq, a predicted model, not a curated record